UACGAAGGGGGCUAGCGUUGCUCGGAAUUACUGGGCGUAAAGCGCACGUAGGCGGCUUUCUAAGUCGGGGGUGAAAUCCUGGAGCUCAACUCCAGAACUGCCUUCGAUACUGGAAAGCUCGAGUCCGGGAGAGGUGAGUGGAACUGCGAAUGUAGAGGUGAAAUUCGUAGAUAUUCGCAAGAACACCAGUGGCGAAGGCGGCUCACUGGCCCGGUACUGACGCUGAGGUGCGAAAGCGUGGGGAGCAAACAGG
Molecule: ribosomal RNA, 253 nt
Filed under: uncultured bacterium
Lineage: Bacteria
Description: partial 16S ribosomal RNA
Rfam family: Bacterial small subunit ribosomal RNA
Source: RNAcentral